RNAcentral lists this long non-coding RNA (2388 nucleotides) under Salmo salar (Atlantic salmon). RNAcentral describes it as "lncRNA (ENSSSAG00000113726.1)". The record is from RNAcentral. Lineage: Eukaryota; Metazoa; Chordata; Actinopteri; Salmoniformes; Salmonidae.
ACAAAAGAACAAUCAGGUAUAACAGUCUUUUUUUAUUCUCCAUUCCAAGCCAUCAAUGAACAUUCCUUACUGUUUGCACCAUUAUAAAAGGCCAAAACUUUUCAUCCAUUAUUUUUUCAUAUAGUUAAGGAAAGGAUAUGUGAAAGUCUAAAUUAGAUCACUAUUGAAUGCUAUUCCGAUAAACCAUUUUUAAAAUUCAUCAGGCUCACACACAAAGACAAGACUACUCAUUCCAUUCAAAAUUUCCAAUGUCAAUGUCACGUUUUUUUUCUCUGUUGUCCAGUUUUUUUUCUCCUGGUUUUCCUAUACUCAUCCCUCAAAUUUUGCUGGCUUUCAUCUCACCACAAAUGCUGCAAACACAGGCUGCCCCUCUGCAAUGAUGUGUGGGGCACAAAGACUCAACACUGCAUCCAUGUCUCACAUCUCUUCCUACAUGUACCUCACUCCCCCUCUCUACACUUGAGUGGUUGUAUUUCCUUUUAGUUAUCUGUAUACUCCUUUGCCACAACGGACAUUUUUAUAUUUAUCUUCAGAAGCUUGUGUUGGAGGUUUUUUCGGAUCAUUAGGGACUUCACAUUUAUAUUAGCUUCAGACCAAGUCAACAGCCUGACUUAUUGCCUCACCGAUUGCCUCAGGAAUCUGGAUGUCGCCAGUCAGGUUCAAGUCCUUUUUUAAUUCACAGUCAAUUUGCACUUCAACGGCAUCCUCUGGCUUGUCAAUGCCGUUGACACAUUCCUUUUGCUGUGGCUCCGGGGCAGACACGGCAGCUAGCUUGGCUGCCUGCUCCUGACACUCCCCAUUGACCUCAGGGGCAGAAGGCUCAGCAGUAGCCUCCGCUGCGGAAACAUCUUCCCUGUUGUCCAGCACAGCAUCCUGUGGCCCAGCGCUGGCCUCCUCUGCAGCAGCAGGUGCAGCAGAUUCUGAAAUGAUGAUCUCCGGGAUGGGUUCUGCAAUGUCGGCAGCCUCUGACUCUGCUGCCUCUACUGCAUCAGCAGCUUCAGGUUCAAGCUCCGCUACGGAUUCUUCUACAGGUAGGGGGAGCUCUUUAGCGGCUGGUUCUAGGACGGAUUCUGUUUCUGCGGCUGCCUCUGGAUCUGCGGCUGCCUCUGACUCUGACACAGCUUCUGCAAUUGAUGUAGGCUCCUCCUCCAGUGUGGGUGAAGCUGCUUCUGCCUCUAUUGGUGCCUCGGGCACAGCCUCAGGUUCUGUAGUGUCUGCCACCUCUGUGACUUGUUCUGUAGCCUCAGAAUCCUUUUCUGGUGCUGCGGUUAGUUCCACAGAGGCUGCCGCAGGCUCUUCUGAUGCAGGCUCUUUUGGUGCUGCCUCAGGCUUUUCUGGUGCAGGCUCUUCUGGAGCAGGCUCUUCCACUGCAGGCUCUUUUGGUGCUGCCACAGGCUCUUUUGGUGCAGGUUCUUUUGGUGCUGCCGCAGGCUCUUCUGGUACAGGCUCUUCCACUGCAGGCUCUUUUGGUGUAGCCACUGUUUCGUCUAGUGCCGCUGGUUCUUCCGGUGCCUCUGUUUUAUCUGGUGCUGUUACAGGUUCCUCUGGUGAUGCUGCUGAUUCCUCAGCUGCUGCAGGUUCUUCUGGUGCUGCAGCUGGUGCUGGCUCCUCUGGUGCUGCAGCUGGUUCUUCUGAAGCUACUGGUUUUUCUGCUGUUGGCGCUGAUUCUGCCAUUGCUGCCACAGGUUCAUCUGGUACAGUUGCUGGCUCUGCGGUGGCCCCCUUGGCCACAGCAUCUAUAGCUGACAGGGCCUCUUCUGUCACAUCUUUGAUGGUUACCGCUGCCGACUCCACUGCUCCCUCUACCGCAGCAGACACCUUAGGAGCAUCCUUCGCUGCCAACUCAGCGACCGGAGCUGGUGCUUUGCUCUCCACGGCAUGGGCCAUGGCCUCAACGGCACUCACAGCAGCCACAGUAAUCUCCUCCUUCUUGUCCUUUGGGUCGCUGACAUCGUACCCCUUCUUCCUCUUGCUCAGCUUGCCUCCCAUGGUGUCUCCUAAAAGUGAAUAAUAAAAUCAGAAUGACUUAACAAGUGUGACAGGUUGUUGCGUUUGAUCAUCUAUGCAUAGUAUAUAUCCAUUUCCUUUAAUUACCCACCACAAACCUCAAUACCAAGUUAAAGCGGAAUAAAAUUCAAAGCAUUGCAAUCAUGCCAACAUAGUGCCGCCUGUCUCCGUUGUAAGAAAGCACUCAGUCGGGCUUUAAAGGGGGAAGGCAUUUCAAUCUGGAGACCACACUCUGCCAAAUACUAUUGGCUAAAAAACAAAUGACCACUGCAUGGGAACUACUCCAAGUUCUAAACUAUCCAGUGCUCUUGUAUAAACCACAGGACAAGACACCCUCUCUGGAGUCUUAGGUAAUGUUAUUAUGUGCCAAGUGAGCCUCCC